This 229-nucleotide ribosomal RNA is filed under the name uncultured bacterium. Its description in RNAcentral is "partial 16S ribosomal RNA". It matches the Rfam family "Bacterial small subunit ribosomal RNA", at positions 568 to 796 of the family's 1533-position model. The record is from RNAcentral.
UACGUAGGCGGGCAAUUAAGUCAGAGGUGAAAUCCCACAGCUCAACUGUGGAACUGCCUUUGAUACUGGUUGUCUUGAGUUACAGUGAAGUAGAUAGAAUAUGUAGUGUAGCGGUGAAAUGCAUAGAUAUUACAUAGAAUACCGAUUGCGAAGGCAGUCUACUAACUGUAUACUGACGCUAAUGGACGAAAGCGUGGGGAGCGAACAGGAUUAGAGACCCGAGUAGUCC